UACGGAGGGUGCGAGCGUUGUCCGGAAUCACUGGGCGGAAAGGGCGCGUAGGUGGCCGAGCAAGGUCGCGGUGAAAGCCCGGGGCUCAACCCCGGGUCGGCCGUGGCAACUACUGGGCUGGAGCACUGUAGGGGCGGGUGGAAUUCCGGGUGUAGCGGUGGAAUGCGUAGAGAUCGGCAGGAACACCCAGGGGGAAACCAGUCGACUGGGCAUCUACUGACGCUGAGGUGCGAGAGCGUGGGGAGCGAACCGG
This 253-nucleotide ribosomal RNA is filed under the name uncultured bacterium. Its description in RNAcentral is "partial 16S ribosomal RNA". It matches the Rfam family "Bacterial small subunit ribosomal RNA", at positions 524 to 776 of the family's 1533-position model. The record is from RNAcentral.